AUGGAGCGAGGAGUGACUCAGUAUUCAGAUGCCUCCUCCUGCCUAUUUUUCAGCCUGGGCAGACGGUUAGAUCCGUACAAUAACAAUGGGCACCCAGAUGCCUCCUCCUGCCAAUUUUUCAGCCUGGGCAGACGGUUAGAUCCACCCAGGUCUUCUCGUGAGCACAGGUCUUUUGUCCUUCAGGCCUUUGGAGACUGGCUUAUGCACGCCUUUGCCACGGACUGCAAGUGGUUCAUGAAAUACCUGGACGACAUGACGAUGGUCGUCGUCAAUUUACGUGAGACGGAAAGCGGAGGGAUCUACAUCGCUUCCAAGUUCCCAACCCCCUUCGGGUGCCAGAGCCUUGAGCUGGAAUUCAAGAGACAGGAAGAUGGGUCGUACGUCCACACAUCAGGAUGGGGUGAGGAAAAGAUAGAAAAGAUCAUGACAGAUUGCGAUACCUACACCAUUGUCACCAUCGCGAAGGUCAGGGGUGGGGUGACCUCCAGAUAUGCGGUACUUUAUGCCAGGGAGACCCAGGUGCGAAAGGAAGCUGAACAGAAAUUCCUGGACUAUGUGCAUCAUGAGCUGGGCUUUAAGGAGGAAAACAUUCAGAUGUUUGGUGACGAAGCUCCAAGGAGUGUGGCAUGGGGUCGCCUUGGCCAGCGACUGCGAGAUGGUUUUGAAGCACCGGGACGACAUGAAGAUUGUGACAGCCACCCUAACGAAGUUGGAGGACGGAGGAGUCACGGUGGCUUCCAACAUGCCCACGUAAGUUUGGCUUCCCUUUGUUUUGUUCCAAACGCGCACCUCCUCUUUCCUGCCCGGGGUUUGAGAAAUGACUGCUGUAGUCCGGAAAAGUCACUGUAGUGCCCGUGAUGGUUCAGGGAUUAUGGGC
This 877-nucleotide long non-coding RNA is filed under the name Pogona vitticeps (central bearded dragon). Its description in RNAcentral is "lncRNA (ENSPVIG00000013119.1)". Lineage: Eukaryota; Metazoa; Chordata; Lepidosauria; Squamata; Agamidae. The record is from RNAcentral.